Bufo bufo (common toad) is the source of this 197-nucleotide long non-coding RNA. RefSeq lists it as uncharacterized. NCBI's taxonomy places the organism in Eukaryota, Metazoa, Chordata, Amphibia, Anura, Bufonidae. The record is from RefSeq and is a predicted model, not a curated record. The transcript is spliced from 3 exons.
AGGUGGGCUUGAUUCAAACGACCACCAACUCUCAGCAAGCCAAAACUGUCGAUAACUGGAUUUAAGUUGGCAAGAGGACUUUUUAAAGGAAUCUGCUGUUUGUUGUACAAGCACUUCCAUUCUAUGUUGAAAUUUUCCUGCUGGACAUGACGUAUUAUGAGGUACUCACUAUGAGAGAUGUUCUCAGCAGAGAAGGG